This 388-nucleotide ribosomal RNA is filed under the name uncultured soil bacterium. RNAcentral's name for it is "bacterial SSU rRNA". It matches the Rfam family "Bacterial small subunit ribosomal RNA", at positions 26 to 402 of the family's 1533-position model. The record is from RNAcentral.
AGAAUCAACGCUGGCGGCGUGCCUCAGACAUGCAAGUCGUACGAUUAAAGCUCUCUUCGGAGAGUGUAUAGAGUGGCGCACGGGUGAGUAACACGUAAGUAAUCUACCUUCGAGUGGGGAAUAACAGUCGGAAACGACUGCUAAUACCGCAUAAUGCAGCGGCACCUAAUGGUGACAGUUGUUAAAGCAUUUAUGUGCUUGAAGAGGAGCUUGCGGCAGAUUAGCUAGUUGGUAAGGUAAUGGCUUACCAAGGCAACGAUCUGUAGCCGACCUGAGAGGGUGGUCGGUCACGACUGACACUGAAUAACGGGUCAGACUCCUACGGGAGGCAGCAGUCGGGAAUUUUGGGCAAGUGGGCGUAAAGGCCUAGACCCAGACAACGCCGCGU